CUCAUGUAGUAGGGUCAUGUACCAUGGUACCUUCCACCCUGUGUUCUCAGCCAUGGUGGUACUGGUGAAGUUAGACUUGUUCUGAUGUCCCUCUCUAGCUGCUCCGGGGUCAUCGCCAUGUAAAGUCCAAAGACGAAAAAUAACCCUGAAGGAAGGAGAGAUGACUAGAAAGAAUCCGGUUGACCGCUUUAUGUGUGGAUUAAUUGUUGGAGUAGAGGACCUUGUGCAUUUCAGGUAAAAUAACAACUCAAUGUUUAUAUCCCAGGACAAAUAAGCUAGCUAAAUUGCCAUAAAUGUUUAAUGCUUUUCGACCUGUCCCCAAAUUAAUAUAAUUGGUUGAGAGUUUGUUUUGAUAUUUCGUGUCAUGAUCGCGUUUGGAGUGAGGGGACAAAAUCAAUUUGCGCACGAUGGCGGAUGCACUCGCGCGUCUGGUUUGGGCAUGGUGUAAUGGUUGUUUAAAUCUAAAAUUAGCUUGACGCGUUUUCGGUUAUCCUACAGACUCAGCGCAUUGCUACAUGGUACUUGAAGGAGAAUUGGAGGUUAAUAAUUUAUUACACUGUUUAGAUUGAGCACAUUUAAACGAAAGCUAAACUUCGUCAUGACGAUAUAAACGGAUGGAUGUGUUCCAGAUGAGGAAGGCCAUCUAUUGGCUGAUUUGGCGGCCUGGAGUGUAGGUCAUUGUUUUAUGAAAUGUGAUCCCAUAUCUCCAGUGACAAUAAUUAUGUAGCUAUGAAGUGUUCUCACACGAUUUCCUGAUUUUCACAACUUGGAAGUUACAUCAUGGGGAAAUGUUGUAUUUUACCCACUGAUAGAACAUAAACAUUCACCAAAUAAACAGGAGUUAUGUUUUUUAUUUCUGGGGGUGGAUUAUCCCUUUAAACUGUAUAGUGGUUAAUCAGUAGCCUUGCCUCAACCUAGUCAAAAUGCGAACCAAGGCAGGGUAAAAGAUGCAUUAUUUGUGUAUGUAGAAAUAAGUAACAAACAAGGACAUAUUUUAAUCUUGAUGAAUGACUAUUUGUAAUUUUACGACAAGCUAAGAUGUUCUUUCCCUUUAGUUUACAAUGUCUGUUCUGCCUCUAGUGACUCAGCUGCCUUCUGAUGUUUAUUAAGUCUGCUAAACUCACUCCAAUUUUCACUGUUAUUGAAAUAUGAAAAACUAUGGCCUUGUCAUUAUUAAUUCAUGUUUGCUUGUUGGUAACUUAGACAGGCAAGGGCCUCCAAGUGGCGCAGCGUCUAAAAAUGCUGACCAGACCGCACGCGCGCAUCUGAGUGCACCAUCGCCCGCAUGUUGAUUUUGUCCCCCCACACCAGAGAUCAGGACAGCAGGUUGAUUUUGUCCCCCCACACCAGAGAUCAAAACACGCAGGUUGAUUUUGUCCCCCCACACCAGAGAUCAGGACAGCAGGUUGAUUUUGUCCCCCCACACCAGAGAUCAGGACAGGAGGUUGAAAUAUCAGAACAAACUCUGAACCAAUUAUAUUAAUUUGGAGACAGGUCGGAAAGCAUUAAACA
Molecule: long non-coding RNA, 1512 nt
Filed under: Salmo salar (Atlantic salmon)
Lineage: Eukaryota; Metazoa; Chordata; Actinopteri; Salmoniformes; Salmonidae
Description: lncRNA (ENSSSAG00000084305.1, ENSSSAG00000096360.1)
Source: RNAcentral